Quercus lobata is the source of this 644-nucleotide long non-coding RNA. RefSeq lists it as uncharacterized. Lineage: Eukaryota; Viridiplantae; Streptophyta; Magnoliopsida; Fagales; Fagaceae. The record is from RefSeq and is a predicted model, not a curated record. The transcript has 3 exons.
ACUCGUCAUUUGCCACUUCUCAGCAGUCAGCCCCUCUCAAUCUCACCGAUAUCGGUAUAUCACUAACCGCAGCAACAGUACUCCAUCAUCUCCCUCUCACGCCCUCCGGCAUCCCUCACCAAGCUGACUACGGUGCAUGACUAUGGUGCAUGAACCAUUGACGUUGGAGAAAAGGUCUGCUGACUAUGGUGCAUGAACCAUUGACGUUGGAGAAAAGAUAUGUAAUUCCAAGAAGCCUCAAGCAAAGGUGUUUUUGCGAAAACAAUAUAUGAUAUGUUUGCAGAGCACUCUGUGUUGGACUCCUCUCAGUUAAUUCUGUGAAGUUAAAGAGUUUGUAAAGAAGCAAAGAACUGAAUAAUCAUGCCAAGCAUUCUUAACGUAGGGUUCCAAGUAUCCUUUACGCAAUAAAGAGAUUCAUAGUUAAUUGCAUGAUGGAAUGGUUGAAGCUGUCAUUAUCUGCUGAAGCAUCCUGCAUCAUUUUUCUUCUUUUCUUAAAGAAAAAAAAAAUCAAAAUUAAUUUUAAUGAUGUUCCUUGGAUCGUUGGAUUACUCACACACACACAAUAAGAAGCAAUAAUGAUGGAGGAUGUUUGAUCUCUGCAUAAUUUUGUUUUGGGGUGUUUUGAUCCUUUUAGUAGGCUCCAA